AAGGGCAAAGAUAAAAACGCAACGUAAGAGAUAAUCUCGUACAGAGCCGGUAGGUAGCCCGGCCGCACCGCUUGGUGUAAGUAACCCUCCCUCCUUAGGGUCGUCCAUUCUUUGUUCAUCACAA
Regulatory RNA element from Lachnospiraceae bacterium 2_1_46FAA, 124 nucleotides. It matches the Rfam family "azaaromatic riboswitch aptamer (yjdF RNA)". The record is from Rfam. Lineage: Bacteria; Bacillati; Bacillota; Clostridia; Lachnospirales; Lachnospiraceae.